RNAcentral lists this ribosomal RNA (496 nucleotides) under uncultured bacterium. RNAcentral's name for it is "partial 16S ribosomal RNA". It matches the Rfam family "Bacterial small subunit ribosomal RNA", at positions 28 to 506 of the family's 1533-position model. The record is from RNAcentral.
GAUGAACGCUGGCGGCGUGCCUAAUACAUGCCAGUCGAGCGAACGGACGAGAAGCUUGCUUUUCUGAUGUUAGCGGCGGACGGGUGGGUAACACGUGGAUAACCUACCUAUAAGACUGGGAUAACUUCGGGAAACCGGAGCUAAUACCGGAUAAUAUUUUGAGCCGCAUGGUUCAAAAGUGAAAGACGGUCUUGCUGUCACUUAUAGAUGGAUCCGCGCUGCAUUAGCUAGUUGGUAAGGUAACGGCUUACCAAGGCAACGAUGCAUAGCCGACCUGAGAGGGGGAACGGCCAAACGGGAAGUGAGACGCGGUCCAGAUACCUACGGGAGGCAGAGGUGGGGAAGUUGCCGAAAUGGGCGAAAGCCUGCAGGAGCAACGCCGGGGGGGUGAUGAAGGUCUGCGGAUGGUAAAACUCUUUUAUUGGGGAAGAACAAUUGUGUAAGUAACUGUGCACAUUUGGACGGAACCGAUAAAGAAAGCCCCGGUGAACUACGG